AUCCAGCUGACGAGUCCCAAGUGAGACGAAACACAUUUUUUGGAU
This 45-nucleotide non-coding RNA is filed under the name Schistosoma haematobium. The record is from RNAcentral. Lineage: Eukaryota; Metazoa; Platyhelminthes; Trematoda; Strigeidida; Schistosomatidae.